GACGACGCUGCGGCGUGCUAAUACAUGCAAGUAGACGCACAGGAUGCCCGUAGUUUACUACACCGUAUUCUGUGAGUUGCGAACGGGUGAGUAACGCGUAGGUAACCUGCCUGGUAGCGGGGGAUAACUAUUGGAAACGAUAGCUAAUGACCGCAUAAGGACAUUUACUGCAUGGUAGAUGUUUAAAAGGUGCAAAUGCAUCCUACCAGAUGGACCUGCGUUGUAUUAGCUAGUAGGUGAGGUAACGGCUCACCUAGGCUGACGAUACAUAGCCGACCUGAGAGGGUGAUCGGCCACACUGGGACUGAGACACGGCCCAGACUCCUACGGGAGGCAGCAGUAGGGAAUCUUCGGCAAUGGACGGAAGUCUGACCGAGCAACGCCGCGUGAGUGAAGAAGGUUUUCGGAUCGGUAAAGCUCUGUGUAAGAGAAGAACGAGUGUGAGAGUGGAAAGUUCACACUGUGACGGUAUCUUACCAGA
This 481-nucleotide ribosomal RNA is filed under the name Streptococcus sp. oral taxon E12. Its description in RNAcentral is "bacterial SSU rRNA". It matches the Rfam family "Bacterial small subunit ribosomal RNA", at positions 32 to 487 of the family's 1533-position model. Lineage: Bacteria; Bacillati; Bacillota; Bacilli; Lactobacillales; Streptococcaceae. The record is from RNAcentral.